This 253-nucleotide ribosomal RNA is filed under the name uncultured bacterium. Its description in RNAcentral is "partial 16S ribosomal RNA". It matches the Rfam family "Bacterial small subunit ribosomal RNA", at positions 524 to 776 of the family's 1533-position model. The record is from RNAcentral.
AACGUAGGAGACGAGCGUUAUCCGGAAUUACUGGGCGUAAAGGGCGUGUAGGCGGAUCGACAAGUUCGUCGUGAAAGCUCCCGGCUCAACCGGGAGAGGUCGAGGGAUACUGUCGGUCUAGAGUGCGAGAGAGGGACGUGGAAUUCCGGGUGUAGUGGUGAAAUGCGUAGAGAUCCGGAGGAACACCAGUGGCGAAGGCGGCGUCCUGGCUCGCAACUGACGCUCAGACGCGAAAGCAUGGGGAGCGAACGGG